AUACGGAGGAUGCAAGCGUUAUCCGGAUUUAUUGGGUUUAAAGGGUGCGUAGGCGGUUUGUUAAGCGGGAGGUGAAAUGCCGGCGCUCAACGUCGGAAGUGCCUCCCGAACUGGUGGACUUGAAUGACUCUGCCGUGGGAGGAAUGUGUAGUGUAGCGGUGAAAUGCUUAGAGAUUACACAGAACACCGAUUGCGAAGGCAUCUCACGAAGGGCUGAUUGACGCUGAGGCACGAAAGCGUGGGGAUCAAACAGGAUUAGAUACCCUGGUAGUCCACGCAGUAAACGAUGAUGGCUAACCGCUGGAUCCAUCGGUUCAGUGGCCAAGCGAAAGCGAUAAGCCAUCCACCUGGGGAGUACGACCGCAAGGUUGAAACUCAAAUGAAUUGACGGGG
RNAcentral lists this ribosomal RNA (393 nucleotides) under uncultured bacterium. RNAcentral's name for it is "partial 16S ribosomal RNA". It matches the Rfam family "Bacterial small subunit ribosomal RNA", at positions 523 to 918 of the family's 1533-position model. The record is from RNAcentral.